Molecule: non-coding RNA, 94 nt
Organism: Mycena vitilis
Lineage: Eukaryota; Fungi; Basidiomycota; Agaricomycetes; Agaricales; Mycenaceae
Source: the annotation of a GenBank genome assembly
GACACUAUAGCUUAGUGGUUGAGCAUACGAUUGCAAUGAGAAAACCCGAAUUCAAUGUAUCGUGAGGUCCCGUGUUCGAACCACGGUAGUGUCU